Molecule: ribosomal RNA, 468 nt
Filed under: uncultured bacterium
Lineage: Bacteria
Description: partial 16S ribosomal RNA
Rfam family: Bacterial small subunit ribosomal RNA
Source: RNAcentral
GACGAACGCUGGCGGCGUGCUUAACACAUGCAAGUCGAACGGAAAGGCCCUGCUUUUGCGGGGUGCUCGAGUGGCGAACGGGGGAGUAACACGUGAGUAACCUGCCCCUGACUUUGGGAUAACUUCAGGAAACUGCGGCUAAUACCGGAUAGGAGAUCCUGCAGCAUGGUGGGGGAUGGUAAGAUUCGGCGGUUGGGGAUGGGCUCGCGGCUUAUGAGCUUGUUGGUGGAGUAGGGGCUGACAAAGGCUGCGAAGGCUAGGCGACCUGGGAGGUUGGACGGGCACAAGACUACUGAGAUAGGGCGCAGUCGCGAACGGUACGCAGUAGUGGAGAGUAUUACACAGUAGGCGGGAGCGUGUUGCGGCGGCGCUGCGUGCGUGAUGCCGUGUUUCGAGUUGUAAACCGAUGUCGCCGUAAACGUAGAGUUAGUGACGGUACCGGGUAAGGAAGCCCCGGCUAACUACGUG